RNAcentral lists this ribosomal RNA (930 nucleotides) under Cantharellus applanatus. RNAcentral describes it as "partial large subunit ribosomal RNA". It matches the Rfam family "Eukaryotic large subunit ribosomal RNA", at positions 1 to 943 of the family's 3401-position model. The record is from RNAcentral. Lineage: Eukaryota; Fungi; Basidiomycota; Agaricomycetes; Cantharellales; Hydnaceae.
UUACCUCAGGUCAGAGAAGACUACCCGCUGGACUUAAGCAUAUCACUAAGCGGAGGAAAAGAAACUAACUAGGAUUCCCCCAGUAACUGCGAGUGAAGAGGGAAGAGCUCAUCAUUGGAAUCUGGCAGUGUUGCACUGUCCGAGUUGUAGAUGAGGAGUAGUCCGUCUGGACUGCAUGGCGUCCAAGUACAAUAGGCCGUCAGUGGGACAUCAUAGAGGGUGACAAUCCCGUCCUUGACGCCAAUGUGCAAGUCUAUUACGAUGGCUAUCUCAGAGAGUCGAGCAGUUUGGGAUUUGCUGCUUAAACAUGGGAGGUAGAUUCCUUCUAAAGCUAAAUACAGGCGAGAGACCGAUAGAGAACAAGUACCGCAAGGGAAAGAUGAAAUAGCACUCUGUGAAGGGAGUCAAAAGGCGUGAAAUUGUUGCGAGAGAAGCGAUUCAAGUCAGCGUAGCUAGGCCCAUCAAGCGUCUUCGCUUUGGACUAGCUUUGCCAGCGGUCUUGUCCCUUGAAGAGACUUGACUUGUAAUAUGUCCAGCCUGGCGUGCACAGGCAGCCCCUUCUGGGGGGCCAGUGGCAUGGCUGGUGGAAUGGCUUGCAAUCGACCCGUCUUGAAACACGGACCAAGGAGUCUAACAUGUAUGCGAGUAUAAGGGUGGCAAACCCGUAUGCGCAAUGAAAGUGAUUUUCGGUGAUUGAGAAUGGCCUGAUGACCAGACAAGCAAUAUAUGUCCCUCGUACGGCCAUUGCCCAAGUUCCGUGGUAGAUCCCACGAACAUGGAGUUGGAGCAUACAUGCUAGGACCCGAAAGAUGGUGAACUAUGCCUGGACAAAGCGAAGCCAAAGGAAACUCUGGUGGAGGCUUGUAGCGAUUCUGACGUGCAAAUCGAUCGUCUGAUCUGGGUAUAGGGGCGAAAGACUAAUCGAACCAU